RNAcentral lists this ribosomal RNA (447 nucleotides) under Bacillus sp. (in: firmicutes). RNAcentral's name for it is "bacterial SSU rRNA". It matches the Rfam family "Bacterial small subunit ribosomal RNA", at positions 333 to 773 of the family's 1533-position model. The record is from RNAcentral. Lineage: Bacteria; Bacillati; Bacillota; Bacilli; Caryophanales; Bacillaceae.
CUACUCCUACGGGAGGCAGCAGUAGGGAAUCUUCCGCAAUGGACGAAAGUCUGACGGAGCAACGCCGCGUGAGUGAAGAAGGUUUUCGGAUCGUAAAACUCUGUUGUUAGGGAAGAACAAGUGCCGUUCGAAUAGGGCGGCGCCUUGACGGUACCUAACCAGAAAGCCACGGCUAACUACGUGCCAGCAGCCGCGGUAAUACGUAGGUGGCAAGCGUUGUCCGGAAUUAUUGGGCGUAAAGCGCGCGCAGGUGGUUUCUUAAGUCUGAUGUGAAAGCCCACGGCUCAACCGUGGAGGGUCAUUGGAAACUGGGGAACUUGAGUGCAGAAGAGGAAAGUGGAAUUCCAAGUGUAGCGGUGAAAUGCGUAGAUAUUUGGAGGAACACCAGUGGCGAAGGCGACUUUCUGGUCUGUAACUGACACUGAGCGCGAAAGCUAAAGCGCUUUC